RNAcentral lists this ribosomal RNA (465 nucleotides) under uncultured bacterium. RNAcentral describes it as "partial 16S ribosomal RNA". It matches the Rfam family "Bacterial small subunit ribosomal RNA", at positions 338 to 795 of the family's 1533-position model. The record is from RNAcentral.
CCUACGGGAGGCAGCAGUGGGGAAUAUUGCGCAAUGGGCGAAAGCCUGACGCAGCGACGCCGCGUGAGGGAUGAAGGUCUUCGGAUCGUAAACCUCUGUCAGCAGGGAAGAACGGUCACUGUGCUAAUCAGCAGUGAAUUGACGGUACCUGCAAAGGAAGCACCGGCUAACUCCGUGCCAGCAGCCGCGGUAAUACGGAGGGUGCGAUCGUUAAUCGGAAUUACUGGGCGGAAAGCGCUCGUAGGCGGUAUGGCAAGUCAAGGGUGAAAUCCCCGCGCUCCACGAGGGAACUGCCUUUGAAACUGGCAAACUGGAGUGAGUGAGAGGAUAGUGGAAUUCCAGGUGUAGGAGUGAAAUGCGUAGAUAUCAAGAGGAACACCAGUGGCGAAGGCGGCUCACUGGACUGUAACUGACGUUGAGGCACGAAAGCGUGGGGAGCAAACAGGAUUAGAUACCCGUGUAGUC